Molecule: ribosomal RNA, 775 nt
Filed under: uncultured Neocallimastigales
Lineage: Eukaryota; Fungi; Neocallimastigomycota; Neocallimastigomycetes; Neocallimastigales
Description: partial large subunit ribosomal RNA
Rfam family: Eukaryotic large subunit ribosomal RNA
Source: RNAcentral
AGAGAGAGACAUGCGCGCAUAUCAAUAAGCGGAGGAAAAGAAACUAACAAGGAUUCCCUUAGUAACGGCGAGUGAAGCGGGAAGAGCUCAAAUUUGAAAUCUUCAAGGUUUUACCUUGACGAAUUGUAGUUUAAAGAAGUGUCUUCUGCUGAAGUUUUGGUAAAAGUUCUUUGGAAUAGGACAUCAUAGAGGGUGAGAAUCCCGUAUUUGACCAUUAUUUUCAGCUUUGUGAUACACUUUCAAAGAGUCGGAUUGUUUGGGAAUGCAGUCCAAAAUGGGUGGUAAAUUUCAUCUAAAGCUAAAUAUUGGCGAGAGACCGAUAGCGAACAAGUACCGUGAGGGAAAGAUGAAAAGAACUUUGAAAAGAGAGUUAAACAGUACGUGAAAUUGUCAAAAGGGAAGCGUUUGACACCAGUGUUGUUUUCUCGAAAAUCAAUUAAAAAUGGCUCGAUUUUGUAUUGCUUGAGACCUUAAAAGCUCACUGUACAUUUUUCGUGUCUUUUUUAAUGCACUUUUCGUUUAACAAGUCAGCAUCAGUUUCUUUUGUUGUAAAAGGGUCAUUGGAAGGUGGCUUUCUUUUCGGAGAAAGUGUUUAUAGCCUUUGGCCUCUGCAAUCGGAGAGACUGAGGUCUGCAGCGUAGACUCUUCGGGGUUAGAUACAUUUGUGCUAAGUUAUAGCUUUUUAUAGACAACUUGUUGACUAUAAUUAGUCUUGUAGCUUACUCGCUUAUGCUAUUUUACCUACGCUUAGGAUGUUGAAGAUGUAGCACAUCAU